CCUUCUGCGCGCAGCCUGAUCCAGCCAUACCGCGUGGGUGAAGAAGGCCUUCGGGUUGUAAAGCCCUUUUGUUGGGAAAGAAAUCCAGCUGGUUAAUACCCGGUUGGGAUGACGGUACCCAAAGAAUAAGCACCGGCUAACUUCGUGCCAGCAGCCGCGGUAAUACGAAGGGUGCAAGCGUUACUCGGAAUUACUGGGCGUAAAGCGUGCGUAGGUGGUCGUUUAAGUCCGUUGUGAAAGCCCUGGGCUCAACCUGGGAACUGCAGUGGAUACUGGGCGACUAGAAUGUGGUAGAGGGUAGCGGAAUUCCUGGUGUAGCAGUGAAAUGCGUAGAGAUCAGGAGGAACAUCCAUGGCGAAGGCAGCUACCUGGACCAACAUUGACACUGAGGCACGAAAGCGUGGGGAGCAAACAGGAUUAGAUACCCUGGUAGUCCACGCCCUAAACGAUGCGAACUGGAUGUUGGGUGCAAUUUGGCACGCAGUAUCGAAGCUAACGCGUUAAGUUCGCCGCCUGGGGAGUACGGUCGCAAGACUGAAACUCAAAUGAUUUUGACGGGGA
Molecule: ribosomal RNA, 561 nt
Filed under: Stenotrophomonas maltophilia
Lineage: Bacteria; Pseudomonadati; Pseudomonadota; Gammaproteobacteria; Lysobacterales; Lysobacteraceae
Description: bacterial SSU rRNA
Rfam family: Bacterial small subunit ribosomal RNA
Source: RNAcentral